RNAcentral lists this unclassified non-coding RNA (321 nucleotides) under plant metagenome. RNAcentral describes it as "partial contains 5.8S ribosomal RNA, internal transcribed spacer 2, and large subunit ribosomal RNA". The stretch from base 1 to 105 matches the Rfam family "5.8S ribosomal RNA", at positions 50 to 154 of the family's 154-position model. The record is from RNAcentral.
GAAAUGCGAUAAUUAAUGUGAAUUGCAGAAUUCAGUGAAUCAUCGAGUCUUUGAACGCACAUUGCACCCCCUGGUAUUCCGGGGGGUAUGCCUGUCCGAGCGUCAUUGCUGCCCUCAAGCACGGCUUGUGUGUUGGGUCGUCGUCCCCCCCCCCGGGGACGGGCCCGAAAGGCAGCGGCGGCACCGCGUCCGGUCCUCGAGCGUAUGGGGCUUUGUCACCCGCUCUUGUAGGCCCGGCCGGCGCUGGCCGACGCUGAAAAGCAACCAACUAUUUCUCCAGGUUGACCUCGGAUCAGGUAGGGAUACCCGCUGAACUUAAGC